UCCCUGAUGGUCCAGUGGCCAAGACUCCAUGCUCCCGGUGCAGGGGGCCUGGGUUCGAUCCCUGGUCAGGGAA
Bos taurus (domestic cattle) is the source of this 73-nucleotide non-coding RNA. NCBI's taxonomy places the organism in Eukaryota, Metazoa, Chordata, Mammalia, Artiodactyla, Bovidae. The record is from Rfam.